UUAACCUUAAAGGGCCUAUAGGGCGAAGAUCAAAUGUGUAGUAUCUGUUCUUAUCAGCUUAAUAUCUGAUACGGCCUAAUCAAGGGUCUUACGAUAUUAAUCCUAUUUUUGUAAGGCGCUGCUAGGACGGGGCUUGCCUCUCCAGUGCCACGGGUCGUCCUGGCAUUGCACUAAAACAAAGAAAAUUAAAAAAAA
Small nuclear RNA from Dermacentor albipictus, 195 nucleotides. RefSeq annotates it as U2 spliceosomal RNA. Lineage: Eukaryota; Metazoa; Arthropoda; Arachnida; Ixodida; Ixodidae. The record is from RefSeq and is a predicted model, not a curated record.